Molecule: long non-coding RNA, 792 nt
Organism: Fukomys damarensis (Damara mole-rat)
Lineage: Eukaryota; Metazoa; Chordata; Mammalia; Rodentia; Bathyergidae
Exons: 3
Source: RefSeq, a predicted model, not a curated record
GAAUUUAAUGAGCAGAGAGGCUGGAGAAGAGGAGGGGUCAGACACUGCACGAUCAUCGUGACGUCCAAGAAAGCUGAGACACCUGCGUUUUCAAUACUCUGGGAGGCUGAGGCAGGAACAUCACGAGUUUAAACCCAUGAGUCUGAGCAACUCAGUGAUUACCAGAGCCAUUUCAUCGAGCUGUUCGCAUCUGUGAGUGGAAUCCACCCUGAAGCAGAAGGCUGCCUGGACUAAGCGUACAGCUGGCAGCUAGCUCCGGAUCCUCUGUGCAGCAGCCUUGGGCCGGAAAUGCUGCACCAAGACAGCUGAACGGCUCUCUUCCAGCUCCUCCCAGCUCCUGCUGGCUGCUCACCUCGAGCCUGACCUACAGAGCGGAAAAAUGAUCUGGCAUCCUUUCAUAUCUUUAUAUGGAAGAUGCUGUGACUGGGUUACAUCAGCAUCUAUCCACCACAGAAGUCGGAAUUCAAAGACUGCAGCUCCUCUCGUGGACUACACGAGGCACUGUGGAGACACCAAGGCCCCUGAUUCCCUGGGCUGGUCUGGGUGUUUCCUGCCCUCCAGGGUUGGAGCCGCCUGGGCUCUGGUGGAGGUGGGAGUGGGGAGGCCUGGCUGUCUCUUAUAGACACUUUUCUUUGAGGUUUUUCUCUCAUCUGACAAGUGAAAAACAAGAAAUCCUGAAGGAGGAGAAUAAGGCCUAAGUACAAGCACAAUAAAAGUGGGAAAAGUUUGGUCUGUUGGGUUUUAAUCAUUCUGGAAGUCAGAGGGUUCAAUUCUCUGUCUCCCUCCCUCUCU